Hordeum vulgare subsp. vulgare (domesticated barley) is the source of this 3890-nucleotide RNA transcript. It is a transcript of the gene named wall-associated receptor kinase 4-like, with no coding region annotated. The transcript has 12 exons. Lineage: Eukaryota; Viridiplantae; Streptophyta; Magnoliopsida; Poales; Poaceae. The record is from RefSeq and is a predicted model, not a curated record.
CUUGAAGGGGGAGAGAAAAACAACUUAAAACCCCAAUUCGCCACCAUGGCCUCCGCCUCUGCUUCUCUCUCCUCUCUCGCUUCCUCCGCCGCCGCCGCCGCCGCGAUCUCCUCCGGCCCCGGCUGCCCUCCUUCCAAGCCCCUUCGCGAUCUAAAGCCUCUUCAUCUUUCCGUCAGACUGUUCUCCCGUCUCGGCAAACCUCAAUCGCUCUCCUGCUCCGGGCCGCUCGCCCCUCGCGCCGCCACUGGCGACGGAUCGGGUGCCGGGAACCGCGGGGACGACUCAGGAGGAAACGGCGGAAAAGGUGGAGGCGGCAACGAUGGCGACGAGGACUACGAGGAGGCCGAGUUCGGGCCGCUGCUCGGCUUCAGCGAGGUGGUGCGCCUCGCGGCCGCCCGUGGCGUCACACUCCCGGCCGACAUGAUUGAAGCCGCCAAGGACGCCGGCAUCCGGGAAGUGAUUUUGCUCCGAUACUUCGAUUUGCAGGCCGCACCGUGGCCACUCGCCGCGAUGGUCCGGGCCUUCUCAGUGCUCCGGAACAGAAUGCUCGCCGAUCCGUCAUUUCUCUUCAAAGUUGGCAUCGAGGUUGUGAUCGACUCCUGCUGUGCGACGCUUGCGGAGGUGCAGAAGAGGGGGGAGGAUUUCUGGGCAGAGUUUGAAUUGUAUGCUGCUGACAUUUUGAUCGGGAUUGUUGUUGAUAUCGCCCUCGUUGGGAUGUUGGCUCCAUAUGUGAGAUUGGGAAAGGCGUCUGCUUCGACGGGGCUGUUAGGGAGGUUCAACCGGAUGACUGGAGCUUUGCCAAGCAGUGUUUUUGAAGCUGAAAGGCCAGGCUGCAGAUUUACAGUCCAACAAAGAAUUGGGACUUACUUUUAUAAGGGCGUUUUGUAUGGCUCAGUUGGAUUUUUCUGUGGUAUUAUCGGCCAGGGAAUUUGCAAUAUGAUAAUGAAUGCCAAGAGGAGUGUCAAAAAAACAGAUGAAGAUAUUCCUGUUCCACCACUUAUUAAAAGUGCUGCUCUUUGGGGCGUAUUCCUUGCUGUAUCAUCUAAUACACGCUAUCAGAUCAUCAACGGUCUGGAGCGAGUAGUUGAGGCAUCACCAGUUGCAAAGGGUGCCCCUCCUGUUGCAAUGGCAUUUACCGUUGGUGUUCGCUUUGCCAAUAACAUCUAUGGUGGAAUGCAGUUUAUCGAUUGGGCUCGAUGGAGUGGUGUCCACUGCGGCCUGAUCGACUUGUCCUACCCGUUCGGCAUAGGCCCCGGGUGCUCCCUGCCCGGAUUCAACCUCACCUGCGACGCCAACACGUACAGGAAGCGCCUCUUGCUCGGCAGCCCCAACGUGACGGUGGACUACACGAUCUUCGCGAGCGGCUUCGUUUCCUCGCUCGCCGUCAACAUCCUGCGCACGUACGGUGCGCAUGAGACCCGGCGCCGGGACGUUCUCUGCCCCAUGGGACGGCCCCGGCAGGCCGUUCGCCAUCUCCGGCGUGUCCAACAUGCCGCUGUUCGUCCUCGGCUGCGGCGUCACGGCCACGCUGCUCGACCGUGGGGCUGCGGUGGGGAACUGCUCCGUGGUCUGUGCCGGGGAGGAGGUCAUGCGGAGGCUGCCCAACGGGCUCUGCGUCGGCGUGGGCUGCUGCCGCAUCGACCUACGCGUAAACCUCCGUGCGUUCGCGUCCAACCUAUCGCGCACCGGCGGCGACGGUGUCAGCCGGGACAAACUCACCUUCUUCGUCACCGGCCGGGACAGGUACACGUUCCGGCCCAGCGAUCUGGAGCGUGACAUUCACCCCGACAUGGUUCCUCCGGCUCUGCUGGAUUGGGCCAUCCCCGGCCAGCCUGACUGCCGGCGCGCCAUGGACGACAGAGUGACAUAUGCCUGUGUCAGUAACCACAGCGAGUGCCGGGACUCGCCGAUCGGAGGCUACCUCUGCCACUGCUCCAGAGGCUUCUCCGGCAACCCCUACGCCGUCGAUGGGUGCGUGCCAGACCAAGUUUAUGGCUCCAUCCACUCAUCCAGCCAAAGACGAACUGUCCGAGGAUGUGCGGGAGCGUGAGCGUUCCAUUCCCCUUCGGCACAGAGCUGGGCUGCUUUGCGAGGAUCCAUCUUUACCUGACAUGUAACCCAGGGUCUUCUCCUGCCAUCCUCCAAAUGACCCAGCACUCGCUCGUCACCGACAUAUCCAUCGACGAGGGCGUGUUGAGGAUUCAGAAGCGGUCCGACUCGGGUGAUUUCUUGAGGGAUCGAGACACCACGCUCUACUCAUUCUCCGGAGAAUCUGGCAUGGUGAAGUGGGCUGUGGAUGACCCGACGUGCAGGGAGGCGAUGCUGAGCAAGGAGUACAGGUGCUUGAGCGCUCAUAGCCGCUGCCUAGAGGUCACCGACGACAGAACAAGCAAGCAUGUGGGAUACAGGUGCAAAUGCUCUUCCGGUUUCCAAGGAAAUCCUUACCUCCAAGAUAUCAACGAGUGCUUGCAGUCAGAUAAACACACUUGCAAUGGAGUCUGUCAGAAUACCCUCGGAAGUUUUACUUGCUCUAGUUGCCCGCGCGGGACAGAUUUUGACACAACUGCCAGGAAGUGCAAAGCAUCCAACGUUAUCUCAGGUGUUACCAUUGGAAUUAGCUCCGGCGGGGGGAUUCUGUUUCUUGCCGUGAUUACGACCAUUAUCAUCCGUAGAUGGAAGAAAGGCGCCCAGAAACAGCUGAGGAGGAGGUGCUUCCGCAAGAACAAAGGAAUCCUCCUUGGACAGCUCGUCUCGUCUGACCCAAGUGCCAGCGACAGCACCAAGAUAUUCUCCCUGGAAGAGCUAGAGAAGGCGACCAACAACUUUGACCAAUCCCGCGUGGUCGGCCGCGGCGGCCACGGGACUGUCUACAAGGGCAUCCUGACGGACCAGCGCGUGGUCGCCAUCAAGAGGGCAAUGCUGGUGGCGAGCGCCGAGAUCGAGCAGUUCAUCAACGAGGUUACCAUCCUGUCGCAGAUCAACGAACGUCGUGAAGCUCCAUGGAUGCUGCCUGGAGUCCGAGGUCCCUCUGCUCGUCUACGAGUUCGUCUCCAACGGCACGCUCUACGGCCUCUUGAACGGCGAGCAAGAUGGCAGGCCUUUACCGAUGCCCUGGGAGGAGCGCCUAAGGAUAGCCGCCGAGAUCGCCGGCGCGCUCACACAUCAAGUCCAUGAACGUGCUCCUCAACGACAGCCACACGGCAAAGGUUUCGGAUUUCGGCGCGUCGAGGUCGAUGCCGGUUGACCAGACACAUCUGGUCACCGCCGUGCAAGGCACCUUCGGCUACUUGGAUCCGGAGUACUACCACACGGGCCGAUUAACCGAGAAGAGCGAUGUUUACAGUUUCGGCGUGAUUCUUGUCGAGCUGCUGAUGAGGAAGAAGCCGCUCGUUGAGAACGAGAAUGGCGAGAAGCAGAACCUGUCCAACUACUUCCUGUGGGCUAUGGGGGAGAGGCCUCUAGAGGAGGUGGUGGAUAAACAGGUUGUGGAGGAAGAAGAUAUGGAGGUGGUCAAGCACGUGGCUUUCUUGGCGCGAGAGUGCCUGAACCUGAGAAGGCAGAAGAGGCCUAGCAUGAAGGACGUGGAGAUGAGGCUGCGAUUCUUGAGGGCACGGAAGGUUGCUCUAGGAAAGGAUGAAGUGGCUCACCGUGAAGUAGGAGGAGGAGAUUGGCGUGGAGGCAUGGUUCCGGUGGCUGGUCACCUUGGCACACGUCAGUAUAGUCUGGAGCAAGAGUUCGUCUCGUCCUUGCGCAUACCACGAUAAUUUGUCUUCCCUGGCUAACAUUCCACUGUUUAUGAUGUCCUCCUAUCCUAUACCGGUUGGAGUUAGUAAGGGAGCUGAUCUCUUUUAAGCGAGAAUUGUUUGGCAAUGAGAUAUAAGGACAUGUAC